This 106-nucleotide non-coding RNA is filed under the name Treponema berlinense. RNAcentral describes it as "TPP sequence". It matches the Rfam family "TPP riboswitch aptamer (THI element)". Rfam says of the family: Vitamin B(1) in its active form thiamin pyrophosphate (TPP) is an essential coenzyme that is synthesised by coupling of pyrimidine and thiazole moieties in bacteria. The previously detected thiamin-regulatory element, thi box was extended, resulting in a new, highly conserved RNA secondary structure, the THI element, which is widely distributed in eubacteria and also occurs in some archaea. Lineage: Bacteria; Pseudomonadati; Spirochaetota; Spirochaetia; Treponematales; Treponemataceae. The record is from Rfam by way of RNAcentral.
AAAAAUGAAUUUGGGAGCUGGCGCAAACCGGCUGAGAGGAAGCUUCUUCGCUUUGACCGUACCUGAUUUGGAUAAUGCCAACGUAGGAAAUCUUAGACUUCUAAUC